UGGUACCUUUCACCACAGAUUUGCCCAGA
This 29-nucleotide non-coding RNA is filed under the name Mus musculus (house mouse). The record is from RNAcentral. Lineage: Eukaryota; Metazoa; Chordata; Mammalia; Rodentia; Muridae.